RNAcentral lists this unclassified non-coding RNA (275 nucleotides) under Trametes cubensis. Its description in RNAcentral is "partial internal transcribed spacer region". The stretch from base 1 to 46 matches the Rfam family "Eukaryotic small subunit ribosomal RNA", at positions 1786 to 1831 of the family's 1831-position model. Lineage: Eukaryota; Fungi; Basidiomycota; Agaricomycetes; Polyporales; Polyporaceae. The record is from RNAcentral.
AAGUCGUAACAAGGUUUCCGUAGGUGAACCUGCGGAAGGAUCAUUAACGAGUUUUGACAUGGGUUGUAGCUGGCCUCACGAGGCAUGUGCACGCCCUGCUCAUCCACUCUACACCUGUGCACUUACUGUAGGUUUGGCGUGGGCUUUCGGGGCCUUCACGGGCUUUGAGAGCAUUCUGCCUGCCUAUGUAUCACUAUAAACACUAUGAAGUAACAGAAUGUAAUUGCGUCUAACGCAUCUUAAUACAACUUUCAGCAACGGAUCUCUUGGCUCUC